ACUAAUUGCAGUUCCUAGACCGAAUUGGUAUAACCUACCCUGAUAUACUCUUCUUAAAUUAGCGUGAAAUUAACUUAUGUCUGGCCUGUGAAGGUGCAGGGUUUGUAAUAUACCAGUUUUAAAGUACAAAUUAUGUGGGAGUUGAAAUGAUUGGACCUAUUAUCAUACCUGAUUGGAGAAAACAGGGAUUAGUUUUACAAACUAAAAGGCCUCUAUUGUCAAUUACCCAGAUGAAAAUUCAAGGCCAAAGUUUCUCAUAUAGGGCUGGUAAGGAGCCAGUGAGUGAUGCUUGUG
RNAcentral lists this long non-coding RNA (294 nucleotides) under Panax ginseng (ginseng). RNAcentral describes it as "long non-coding RNA (PGIN_LNC004393)". Lineage: Eukaryota; Viridiplantae; Streptophyta; Magnoliopsida; Apiales; Araliaceae. The record is from RNAcentral.